UACGUAGGGUGCGAGCGUUGUCCGGAAUUACUGGGCGUAAAGAGCUCGUAGGUGGUUUGUCGCGUUGUUCGUGAAAACCUGAGGCUUAACCUUGGGCGUGCGGGCGAUACGGGCAGACUGGAGUACUGCAGGGGAGACUGGAAUUCCUGGUGUAGCGGUGGAAUGCGUAGAUAUCCGGAGGAACACCGGUGGCGAAGGCGGCUUCCUGGACCGACACUGACGCUGAGGCGCGAAAGCUAGGGGAGCAAACGGG
This 253-nucleotide ribosomal RNA is filed under the name uncultured bacterium. RNAcentral describes it as "partial 16S ribosomal RNA". It matches the Rfam family "Bacterial small subunit ribosomal RNA", at positions 524 to 776 of the family's 1533-position model. The record is from RNAcentral.